GGGUUUUCUUUAAAGCUCUGAUCUGUGGAUGGAAGUUGAGGGUUUCGGGGUUGUGUGUUUUUGAUUGUGUUGUUUUUUGGUCAAAUUAAGUUUUGGGUAUGGUUUGUUUCAUGUUUGAUUGUGUAGUUUUGAUUCUUUAAGUGAUAAAUUUAUUGUGUGUAUUUGCAGCUAUAGUCAAAAGAUUGAAUCGGUUUUUGUCAUCAGAACGAACGAACUUGGUAUGUCAAUGUUCCUCAAGAAAUCAACAGGCUGAGGUGCGGGGUGAACUAUCACGCUCUUAAAUUUCUUCCCGAGAUAGAGCAGAUGGCUGAUUUAUUGGCAUCAAGGAUGAGAAACCGCACUGGAAGUUCCAAUCCUUAUAUGUUAUGGAGGUCAUGAAGAUAUUGGAGAUUGACCUUGAAAGUGGAUGGAUUUUGCCCAAGUUAUUUCAGUGGGAAAGGAAAGCAAAUCACUUCUACACACAAAAAGACAUUGAUCAGGUCCGGGCCGAGUGGGCAAAGUAUGUCAGCCAAUUUCAACAAAGCUAGUGUGUCGAGAAGAUUCUAAUUUUGGACAUGCAUCAUCUAUAACCCAUAUUAACUAGUUAUGCAGUUGGUCUAAGUAUCUAUUUUUGGCCUGCAAGUACAGUUUAUGAUAAGUAGUAUGAG
This is a long non-coding RNA of Rosa chinensis, 647 nucleotides long. RefSeq lists it as uncharacterized. Lineage: Eukaryota; Viridiplantae; Streptophyta; Magnoliopsida; Rosales; Rosaceae. The record is from RefSeq and is a predicted model, not a curated record. The transcript is spliced from 4 exons.